CUACGGGUGGCUCCAGUGAGGAAUAUUGCACAAUGGGGGGAACCCUGAUGCAGCAACGCCGCGUGGAGGAUGACGCAUUUCGGUGUGUAAACUCCUUUUAUAUGUCAAGAAAAUGACGGUAGCAUAUGAAUAAGCACCGGCUAACGUCCGUGCCAGCAGCCGCGGUAAUACGGAGGGUGGAAGCGUUACUCGGAAUCACUGGGCGGAAAGGACGCGUAGGCGGGUUGGAAAGUCAGGUGUGAAAUCCUACAGCUUAACUGUAGAACUGCACUUGAAACUUCUAAUCUAGAGUAUGGGAGGGGGAGAUGGAAUUAGUGGUGUAGGGGUAAAAUCCGUAGAUACCACUAGGAAUACCUAAAGCGAAGGCGAUCUCCUGGAACAUUACUGACGCUAAGGCGUGAAAGCGUGGGGAGCAAACAGGAUUAGAUACCCUGGUAGUC
RNAcentral lists this ribosomal RNA (440 nucleotides) under uncultured bacterium. RNAcentral describes it as "partial 16S ribosomal RNA". It matches the Rfam family "Bacterial small subunit ribosomal RNA", at positions 339 to 795 of the family's 1533-position model. The record is from RNAcentral.